RNAcentral lists this ribosomal RNA (464 nucleotides) under Diderma microcarpum. Its description in RNAcentral is "bacterial SSU rRNA". It matches the Rfam family "Eukaryotic small subunit ribosomal RNA", at positions 1 to 406 of the family's 1831-position model. Lineage: Eukaryota; Evosea; Eumycetozoa; Physariida; Didymiaceae. The record is from RNAcentral.
UAACCUGGUUGAUCCUGCCAGUAGUGUAUGCUUCUCCUAAAGACUAAGCCAUGCAUGCCUUCGAAUACGAGGAAGCAAUUCUCUCUGAAUCUGCGAACGGCUCCGCAAACCAGUUGUAAACCAAAGCAAGCAUACUCGUGGUCUGCCCUUCACGGGGUGGGCUGCGGGUGAUACGGAUAACCCUGGUAAUUCUGAGGCUAAUACGAGACUGUACUCCCUGGCUAACCGGGCGACUGGUAGGCUGGGGGGCGUGCGAUCUAUUUGCAAGACGAUUCCAGGAAGGGGUGCACGCUCUGACCGCGACAAAGACAGUUCUGCCGGACCUUCACGGGCGAGUCAGUUCUGAGCGGCUCUUGCGAUGUGCUUCUGACCUAUCAACUAGAUGGCAGCGUAACGGACAUGCCAUGGUUACAACGGGUACAGAGGAUUAGGGUUCGAUCCUGGAGAGUGGGCCUGAGAGAUUG